RNAcentral lists this unclassified non-coding RNA (319 nucleotides) under Hevea brasiliensis (rubber tree). The record is from RNAcentral. Lineage: Eukaryota; Viridiplantae; Streptophyta; Magnoliopsida; Malpighiales; Euphorbiaceae.
GUUUUCUGUGAAAAAGUUGAAGAGAAAUGGCAAUGGGAAAGAAGAUAUGUGAAAAUGUUGGAUUUGGGCUUGUGAGAAGUACCUCAUUUGGGAGGAAAAGAGUUUGUUUGCCUAAUAUUAGGGAUCUUGAUUUCAUUUCAACAACACCUACAAAGAAAAUAUGCAGAAAUAAUUCAUUUUCCACUUGUGUGAAGUCCCCUCUUGAAGCUCUGCCUCAAGAUAUCCUGAUAAGGAUAGUGUGUGGAGUUGAACAUGAGGAUCUUAAGAGGUUGUUUCAUGUAUCAAAACCAAUUAGAGAAGCGACUUUGGUUGCAAAAAG